GAUGAAGAACGUAGCGAAAUGCGAUAAGUAAUGCGAAUUGCAGAAUUUCCGUGAGUCAUCGAAUCUUUGAACGCACAUUGCGCUCCCUGGUAUUCCGGGGAGCAUGCCUGUUCGAGCGUCAUUACAACCCUCAAGCUCUGCUUGGUGUUGGGCCCCGCCGCCCCGGCGGGCCCUAAAGUCAGUGGCGGUGCCGUCCGGCUCCGAGCGUAGUAAUUUUUCUCGCUUUGGAGGCCCGGGCGCGUGCUUGCCAUCAACCCCCAAUUUUUUUCAGGUUGACCUCGGAUCAGGUAGGGAUACCCGUUGAACUUAAGCAUAUCAAUAAGCGGAGGA
This 330-nucleotide unclassified non-coding RNA is filed under the name soil metagenome. RNAcentral's name for it is "partial contains 5.8S ribosomal RNA, internal transcribed spacer 2, and large subunit ribosomal RNA". The stretch from base 1 to 121 matches the Rfam family "5.8S ribosomal RNA", at positions 35 to 154 of the family's 154-position model. The record is from RNAcentral.